AUUCUCAUCUACUGUUUCCAAUCUAUCGAACCACUGGUUUCUCUCAUCUUGAACGACUGUUUCAUCUUCUUCAUCGAUCAAAGACUGCAGGUGUCGGGUAAGAUGUUCAUCAACAAUGGCAAGACGUGGAGUGAACAACCGGAGAGCAUUCUCAAUAGCCGUAGCCCUCGAAGGGAAAACAGCAACAUUCUUGCAGAAUGGUCAAGAAUAAGCAAGUCAGGAAUGCAACAUACAUGUUACAAAAGGCUGUAAGAUCAAUACUAUGCAAAUAAGAAGGCUGGUACUUUAUCAAAGGGAAGAACAUAUCUCCAUACAUAUUUAUACUGACAUCCAUUUUACAAGAUAUUGACUGAUGAACAUCUCAUUCAGACAACACAUUUUUGUCAACUCACAUAUUCUUACCUAAUAAUUGAAGUAUGAAAUGUGGAA
Molecule: long non-coding RNA, 429 nt
Organism: Cynara cardunculus var. scolymus (artichoke)
Lineage: Eukaryota; Viridiplantae; Streptophyta; Magnoliopsida; Asterales; Asteraceae
Exons: 2
Source: RefSeq, a predicted model, not a curated record